GACGAACGCUGGCGGCGUGCUUAACACAUGCAAGUCGAACGGAAAGGCCCUUCUUGGGGUACUUGCUUGGCGAACGGGCGAGUAACACGCGCGUAACUUGCCUUCGACUUCCGGAUAACUUCAUGCAACUGGGGCUAAUAACUGCUAGGAAUCCUUGCCGCAUGGUGGGGGGUGGAAAGCUUCGGCGGUUGUGGAUGGACUCGCGGCUUAUCAGUUUGUUGGUGGGGUAGUGGCUUACCAAGGCUUUGACGGGUAGCCGGCCUGGGGGGGCGACCGGCCACCAUGGGACUUGGGUACGGGCCAGACCCCUACGGGGGGCAACAGGGGGGAAUUUUUCACAAUGGGGGGGAGCCUGAUGCAAGCAAGCCGGGUGCGGGGUGAAGGGCUUCGGGUUGGAAACCGGUUUCAGCAGGGGAGGAACUUGUGGUGACGGUACCUGCAGAAGAAGCACCGGCUAACUACGUG
Molecule: ribosomal RNA, 465 nt
Filed under: uncultured bacterium
Lineage: Bacteria
Description: partial 16S ribosomal RNA
Rfam family: Bacterial small subunit ribosomal RNA
Source: RNAcentral